This 28-nucleotide non-coding RNA is filed under the name Homo sapiens (human). The record is from RNAcentral. Lineage: Eukaryota; Metazoa; Chordata; Mammalia; Primates; Hominidae.
UCACACAGCUGACUCAGGAGAGGAAUGC